This is a long non-coding RNA of Oncorhynchus tshawytscha (Chinook salmon), 287 nucleotides long. Lineage: Eukaryota; Metazoa; Chordata; Actinopteri; Salmoniformes; Salmonidae. The record is from Ensembl.
AAAGAAGUGAACAAUAUAGAGAAUAGGUUGGCAUUUAGGACACAGGCAGAGACAGGCAAGGAGCGGUAAUGGGGAGUUACUGUCCUAUAUUCCUCUGGUGGAGGGAGGGGCUAUAGGUGGAGGGAGGGGCUAUAGGUGGAGGGAGGGGCUAUAGGUGGAGGGAGGGGGACUAUAGGUGGAGGGAGGGGCUAUAGGUGGAGGGAGGGGGACUAUAGGUGGAGGGAGGGGGACCAUAGGUGGAGGGAGGGACUAUAGGUGGAGGGAGGGGGACUAUAGGUGGAGGGAGG